Camponotus floridanus (Florida carpenter ant) is the source of this 418-nucleotide long non-coding RNA. RefSeq lists it as uncharacterized. NCBI's taxonomy places the organism in Eukaryota, Metazoa, Arthropoda, Insecta, Hymenoptera, Formicidae. The record is from RefSeq and is a predicted model, not a curated record. The transcript has 3 exons.
GUACAUUUAAAUAUUAUUUCAACCGAAUUUAUCAUUUGUUAAAACAGUAUCGGUUAGCGUACAAGCAAAUCAAAUUUAUACCGAAGCCAGAGGAAAAGCAAUCUUUAGAAAGCUUUGGAAAAGCUUUAGAAAAGCAAAUUACUAUUAUCACACAACUUUUUCAACCAAGUUUGUACGGAAGGUCAUCAGCUGACACAAUAUUUUUAUAAGGCGAAACCGGUGCGACGAUAUUUCUGGAACAUUGAAAGAAUAAUAGCAAAUACGAAAUCUGAUGUUUGAUCUCUAUAAAUUGAUAAAUUCUUGCACCGAUCCAUGAGGGAAGUAUCUUACAAAUGUCGUCGUUUCUUUGCAUACACCUUAUUAUUAAAUUAUAAUGAUAUUCUUUUCUUUUAUUAUUGUCUUCAGUUUUAGCACGCUA